Molecule: long non-coding RNA, 485 nt
Organism: Oncorhynchus tshawytscha (Chinook salmon)
Lineage: Eukaryota; Metazoa; Chordata; Actinopteri; Salmoniformes; Salmonidae
Source: Ensembl
CACAAGUGAACAGAGUGAAAGCCCACUGGGUGGAGUGGAGCCUCUGGGUUAUAUACCAUCUCAGGAUAGGUCAGGAAAGGAUAGGUCAGGAUAGGUCAGGAUAGGUCAGAACAGGUCAGGAUAGGAUAGGUCAGGAUAGGUCAGGUCAGGAUAGGUCAGGAUAGGUCAGGUCAUGAUAGGUCAGGAUAGGUCAGGACAGGUCAGGAUAAGAUAGGUCAGGAUAGGUCAGGUCAGGAUAGGUCAGGAUAGGUCAGGUCAUGAUAGGUCAGGAUAGGUCAGGACAGGUCAGGAUAAGAUAGGUCAGGAUAGGUCAGGUCAGGAUAGGUCAGGAUAGGUCAGGAAAGGUCAGGUCAGGAUAGGAUAGGUCAGGAUAGGUCUGGACAGGUCAGCAUAGGUCAGGACUGGUCAGGACAGGUCAGGACAGGAUAAGUGCCACCUCAGAGAUGACGUGAUUCCAAACACCAAGCCCACACGUCCUGUACCAG